Molecule: non-coding RNA, 107 nt
Filed under: chicken gut metagenome
Description: THF riboswitch
Rfam family: THF (Tetrahydrofolate) riboswitch aptamer
About the family: THF riboswitch presents a pseudoknot that joins P1-P2 and the loop of P3 and two THF binding.
Source: RNAcentral
CAGAGUAGGUUUUGGCGCGUCAAGUGUCACGCGGACGGGGAGUUGCCGCGUGGACGAAAGCCUUUUGCGUUGCAAAAGACUGCGGUGCCAGGACCGCAUCCCGCUGU